Molecule: transfer-messenger RNA, 394 nt
Filed under: Patescibacteria group
Lineage: Bacteria
Also listed under: 1 other name
Description: JAHFIC01 sp023246555 X1 Standard tmRNA
Rfam family: transfer-messenger RNA
About the family: Bacterial tmRNA, also known as 10Sa RNA or SsrA, is named for its dual tRNA and mRNA-like properties. Its role is to liberate the mRNA from a stalled ribosome. To accomplish this part of the tmRNA is used as a reading frame that ends in a translation stop signal.
Source: RNAcentral
GGGGAUGACAGGGUUCGAUAGACGGAUCAAGUUAUCGGUAUUUGCAUGUCGAGCCUAGGCCUCGUUAAACCCUAGAAAAUUCUACGUGCAAACGUAUUUACAGCUGUGAAAGCUAGAAUUGCUUCUGCAUUCUCUAUGCCUUCAUUCGCUGCCGCUAUCGCUUAAGUGCUUUAGCCAUCGACCCUACCAUACUCAAUAGUAGGUCAUCGGUGUCAAUUAUUGAGCGUAGGAACUGGGUUGUCUUGCCCAGGCUCCGAAACUGCAUCAAGGCUUCUGGUACUCCAAGUUUUUGCUUCAUUUCUUACUUGCUGUACGUCAAUACAAAUGAGCUAAGCAUGAAGAUGGUAUCCAUAACCCGCUCUAGACCCGAGUUCAAUUCUCGGCAUCUCCACAA